Molecule: ribosomal RNA, 253 nt
Filed under: uncultured bacterium
Lineage: Bacteria
Description: partial 16S ribosomal RNA
Rfam family: Bacterial small subunit ribosomal RNA
Source: RNAcentral
UACAGAGGGUGCUAGCGUUAAUCGGAAUUACUGGGCGUAAAGCGUGCGCAGGCGGUUUCUUAAGUCAGAUGUGAAAGCCCCGGGCUUAACCUGGGAACUGCGUUUGAAACUGGGAGACUUGAGUGUGGCAGAGGGGGGUGGAAUUCCACGUGUAGCAGUGAAAUGCGUAGAUAUGUGGAGGAACACCGAUGGCGAAGGCAGCCCCCUGGGUUAACACUGACGCUCAUGCACGAAAGCGUGGGGAGCAAACAGG